GCGUUGCUCGGAAUGACUGGGCGUAAAGGGCGCGUAGGCGGUUCGUACAGUUGGGUGUGAAAUCCCUGGGCUUAACCUGGGGGCUGCGUUUGAGACGGUUGGUCUAGAGUUUGGAAGAGGGUCGUGGAAUUCCCAGUGUAGAGGUGAAAUUCGUAGAUAUUGGGAAGAACACCGGUGGCGAAGGCGGCGACCUGGUCCUGGACUGACGCUGAGGCGCGAAAGCGUG
RNAcentral lists this ribosomal RNA (226 nucleotides) under uncultured bacterium. RNAcentral's name for it is "partial 16S ribosomal RNA". It matches the Rfam family "Bacterial small subunit ribosomal RNA", at positions 538 to 763 of the family's 1533-position model. The record is from RNAcentral.